Molecule: ribosomal RNA, 253 nt
Filed under: uncultured prokaryote
Description: partial 16S ribosomal RNA
Rfam family: Bacterial small subunit ribosomal RNA
Source: RNAcentral
ACGAAGGGGGCUAGCGUUGCUCGGAUUGACUGGGCGUAAAGGGCGCGUAGGCGGUUCGUACAGUCAGACGUGAAAUUCCUGGGCUCAACCUGGGGGCUGCGUUUGAUACGUGCGGACUUGAGUGCGGAAGAGGGUCGUGGAAUUCCCAGUGUAGAGGUGAAAUUCGUAGAUAUUGGGAAGAACACCGGUGGCGAAGGCGGCGACCUGGUCCGAUACUGACGCUGAGGCGCGAAAGCGUGGGGAGCAAACAGGA